Gossypium raimondii (Peruvian cotton) is the source of this 135-nucleotide non-coding RNA. The record is from Rfam. Lineage: Eukaryota; Viridiplantae; Streptophyta; Magnoliopsida; Malvales; Malvaceae.
AUUCGUAUUCUUCCACAGCUUUCUUGAACUGCAAAUUCGUGUAAUCAGAUAACCUUUUAGUUGUUGUCGUUGACGGCGCUGCAUACAUACGAGUACAUUGUUGCAGUUCAAUAAAGCUGUGGGAAGAUACAAACA